GUGCGAAUUUUGAGGAGGUGGUAGACAUUUCUCAUGAGAUUGACAUUUCUCAUGAGAUUGAGUCACCGCCAGGAGCGAAAGGAGAGGGGGGAAAAGAGGCCUCGAGAAUCUGAUUGCUAUAGUGGUGCUUCUUCGAGAGGUUAGUUUCUGCGUGGCAGAGGCCGUCCAUUCAGACAUGCUCAGCCAGCUCGUCCAGGUUAUUGUGGGGCGUCAUCAGGUCAUGGUUCUCACUGUUCUCAUCAGGGCCAGUCAUCACUUAGUGCCCUUUCAUCUCAGAGUUCAUCCUGUUCUCCAUCUGUUUAGGGUUCUUCCAUGCUAGGCCAUCUGCUAGUUAUUCUGGUUCUAGGUUUUUCCUCCAGUCCCCGUCCCCAACACUCGAGAGUUGCUAUGAGUGUGGAGAAAUGGGUCAUAUUUUGAGGUAGUUUCCUCUUCAUCUUGCGGG
RNAcentral lists this long non-coding RNA (442 nucleotides) under Nicotiana benthamiana. Its description in RNAcentral is "long non-coding RNA (NBEN_LNC007964)". The record is from RNAcentral. Lineage: Eukaryota; Viridiplantae; Streptophyta; Magnoliopsida; Solanales; Solanaceae.